CAGUCGCCGCGGUAAUACGAAGGGGGCUAGCGUUGUUCGGAUUUACUGGGCGUAAAGGGCGCGUAGGCGGGCGAAUCAGUCAGGGGUGAAAUCCCAAGGCUCAACCUCGGAACUGCCUUUGAUACUGGCGAUCUUGAGUCCGGGAGAGGUGAGAGGAACUGCGAGUGUAGAGGUGAAAUUCGUAGAUAUUCGCAAGAACACCGGUGGCGAAGGCGGCUCACUGGCCCGGAACUGACGCUGAGGCACGAAAGCGUGGGGAGCAAACAGGAUUAGAUACCCCUGUAGUCCCUGUCUCUUAUAU
RNAcentral lists this ribosomal RNA (301 nucleotides) under uncultured bacterium. RNAcentral describes it as "partial 16S ribosomal RNA". It matches the Rfam family "Bacterial small subunit ribosomal RNA", at positions 509 to 809 of the family's 1533-position model. The record is from RNAcentral.